CCGAGUUAUCUCGACUCCCAAACCCCUGUGAACCUUUACCUGAACGUUGCUUCGGCGGGACCGCCCCGGCGCCCCGGAACCCCCCGUCCUCGGGGGGAACCCGCGGCCCGGAACCAGGCGCCCGCCGGGGGACCCAAACUCUUGCUUCUGCUCCAGUGGAAUCCUCUGAGUGUCGUGGGAUAAAUGAAUCA
RNAcentral lists this unclassified non-coding RNA (191 nucleotides) under uncultured Hypocreales. RNAcentral's name for it is "sequence contains ITS1". The record is from RNAcentral. Lineage: Eukaryota; Fungi; Ascomycota; Sordariomycetes; Hypocreales.